This 1452-nucleotide ribosomal RNA is filed under the name Triticum aestivum (bread wheat). RNAcentral's name for it is "partial small subunit ribosomal RNA". Lineage: Eukaryota; Viridiplantae; Streptophyta; Magnoliopsida; Poales; Poaceae. The record is from RNAcentral.
AUGGCGAGCGCCAACGUCCUCCUCCUCCCGGAGCCCGGCUCGGGCCACCUCAUGUCGCUCAUCGAGGCCGGCAAGCGGCUGCUCGCUCACGGCGGAGACGGGCUCACCGUCACCGUGCUGAUUGUCCGGCCAGCGACGCCCGAGUCGGCCUCCGAGGUCGACUCGCACGUCCGGCGCGUCGCGGCCUCCGCCUCUGGGCUCGGCAUCCGGUUCCACCACCUCCCCGCCGUCGACCCGCCCACGGACUGCGCCGGCAACCUUCAGGAGUUCAAGUCCCGCUACAUGCAGCUGCACGCGCCCCACGUCAGGGUCGCCGUGGCGGAACUCGGCGCCGCGGCGCUCGUCAUAGACUUCUUCGCCACCGCCGUCAUCGACGUGGCGCACGAGUUCGCCGUGCCCACGUACGUCUACUUCACGUCCACGGCCGCGCUGCUCGCGCUCACUCUGCGCCUGCCGGCGCUGGCCGUCGACUCCGACGCGUCCGACGACGGCGCGGUGGAAGUCCCGGGCAUGCCGCCGGUUCCCGCGGGGUCUGUUCCGGGGUUUCUGGGCGAUAAGGAGAGCCCUAACUACGCGUGGUUCGUGUACCACGGCCGUCGCUUCAUGGACGCCGACGGCAUCAUCAUUAAUACGGUGGACGCGCUCGAGCCCGGACUUCUCGCCGCGAUAGCCGGAGGCCAGUGCGUGCCUGGACGACGCGCGCCGCCGCUAUACCCGAUCGGUCCAGUGAUCGACCACGCCGUGGAAGCGUCGAACGAGCCCUGCGUCCGGUGGCUCGACGCGCAGCCUCGGGCGUCGGUGGUGUUCCUUUGCUUCGGGAGCCUGGGAUGGUUCGACAGAGCCAAGGCGCACGAGGUGGCCGCGGGGCUGGAGCGCAGCGGGCACCGCUUCCUGUGGACGCUGCGCGGCCCUCCGGCCGCCGGCUCGCGGCACCCGACGGACGCGAACCUGGACGAGCUCCUCCCGGAGGGGUUCCUGGAGCGGACGGAGGGGCGGGGCCUGGUGUGGCCAACGCGGGCCCCGCAGAAGGAGAUACUCGCGCACGCCGCCGUCGGCUGCUUCGUGACGCACUGCGGGUGGAACUCGACGCUGGAGAGCAUGUGGCACGGCGUGCCGCUGGUGCCGUGGCCGCUGUACGCGGAGCAGCAUCUGAACGCGUUCGAGCUCGUGUCCGUCGUCGGCGUGGCCGUGGCGAUGGAGGUGGACAGGGAGCGGGACAACUUCGUGGAGGCGGCGGAGCUUGAGCGGGCGUUGAGACGCGUGAUGUGCGGCGGGUCGGAGGAGGAGGGCGCCAUGGCGAGGGAGAAGGCCAUGAAGAUGAAGGCCGCGUGCAGGCGGGCCGUGGAGGAGGGCGGCUCGUCCCACGCUGCGUUGCAGAGGCUGCGCCAUGCAAUUCGCAGCGGUACAACGACGUGCAACGGCGCAGCGCCUCCCAAGGAGACGACGUCGUGA